This 411-nucleotide ribosomal RNA is filed under the name Eubazus semirugosus. Its description in RNAcentral is "eukaryotic LSU rRNA". Lineage: Eukaryota; Metazoa; Arthropoda; Insecta; Hymenoptera; Braconidae. The record is from RNAcentral.
CCUGAGAAACCCAAAAGAUCGAAUGGGGAGAUUCAGCGUCAGCGCAUUUGGUAUAUGUGCAGAUUGCGAUGUGAGUUAUCCUUGUGAUAAUACUUGCACGUAUUUGUAUCAUUUAAUUGCUGAAUGUCGUCGGCGUGCACUUCUCCCCUAGUAGGACGUCGCGACCCGUUGGGUGUCGGUCUACGGCCCAGAUGGUAGUCUUUGAUGUUUGCCGCAAGGUAUUAUUUUGAAGACCACUGGUGUUUUCUGGCCGACUGCCCGGCGGUAUUCGCACGGUAUAAGCCGCUGUUAUGCGUCAAGCUCGCCACAAGCGCGGUCAGUGUUUUCUGGUAUACGGACUUUGUGCCGUCGCUAGGCCUGAUCAGCUGUUAGUUGUGUGAUGUUCUUUGACUGGCUUGUAUUAUUAUCGGU